Molecule: non-coding RNA, 1986 nt
Organism: Megalopta genalis
Lineage: Eukaryota; Metazoa; Arthropoda; Insecta; Hymenoptera; Halictidae
Source: RefSeq, a predicted model, not a curated record
GUCGCGGUUGCAUUCGUGGUUGCAUUCGUGGUUGCAAUCGCGAUUGCAAUCGCGAUUGCUGCGCGACAACGAAAAGGCAAUAAUUUACAUGAAAAAGGUAUACGAGUAACGGAAGGAAAAGCGCGAACAAAUAUUUGAUCGCUUCGAUGAAAGCAGGGUGAAAAGCGCCCAAAGGACAGAGACGGUCGUAGAAAUGGCAAACGUCGACGAUAAAGAAAAUCAACGAGGAAUCAAGGUUAAACCGAAGAAAAUACUUGGGCGUCUUCGAUCGAGAUUUCCAUACGGUUCGAUCCACGGCCGAUCAACCCGUUCGCGUAAUUUCCAGUAUCGCAGAAUGCAAAACGGUCGAUCGCUGUUAGAUCUGUUUCGUUUUUAACGGUUGCUUCCUUACGAGGGACGAUCUAUCUAGAGUAUUCCUAACGACAUCGCGUCGAAAGAAGCGAAUAAUCGGCGUCGAAUGAUAUAUUAUAAGCCGUGUCCGGUAGCGACUUGCAUCUACCAUCCAACGGAUCUACGAAUACUCUUUCUUGUUUCGCGGAAACUAUUUUUCUUCAAAAUGGCAAAUAAAUAUCGUUUGGUUCGAUUCUACGCAAAAGGUAGAAGAAGAAGCUUCGUAAUCGUUGGAAAUGGUGUCGAAUCGCAUUAGGGGAUAUGAAACAUGAACGGUAAAAGGUAAGCGGCGAGCGGCGAGCGGCGAGCGGCAAGCGACAAGCGAAGAGUCAAGGGAUUGAACGAUCGAUACCGUUCAUUAGACAUUGGCUCGACGAAUGUGGGAUUUGGUCGUUACAAGGGGAAAAAGCAGAAUCGUACGAGUACAGGCCAGGUCCAGCCGAGCUCCGAGGAAGUUGCGCGGCUCCGAAGAGACGGUGGAAUAUUCUUCGCGGAAAACAAGCGGGAAGGAAGGCUGGUGGAAGCGAGGCGGAAGGGGAUCGAUGGGAAAAGGGGAACACGCGGAAUGUUCGUACAAAAAUAAAAAGUCCAUCCGUCUUUAUCGCGUUUCUACCAACGCGAAUGAAUCACGGAAUCGAGUACCCGGUGAGGCGAGGCGAGGCGAGGCUACUCCGAUCGGUGAAUCUGCAUCGUUACGCAAAUUGUUUCCAACGAUCGUCCAUAAAACGUUGUCCGCGAGAGGCCUUCGAACGUCUCUUAAAAAAUGUGUAUUUCCACCGUUGUUGCAAUUUAACCCUGCGAUCGAUGAGCAAAAACGAUUGGAAAGGAGAGUACGAUUGGAAAGGAGAGUACGAAGAACGAGAGGAGGCAGAGAAGAAGAGGGAGAUAAUCCGAAGGAGAUUGCGGAGGAUGUCGAGAAACCAAGAGCAACGGCCUUGACCUUGUCCGUGACUUUGUGGCAAAAGAGAGGGAGCGAGAGGAAGCGAGAAGGAAAGACGCAAGAAAUGACAUCGGUCGAAACAAAGUGGCCUGGUUUCUCGAUUGUGUCUCGUCGAUGUCUGCUGCACGGUCUGCCGACCGGCGACGGCAAAACCAGGGAAACGCGCUCGGUCGAUGUUAACGACUGACAAUGAGUCGAUCGUACCCUCGGUGAAACCGAAUGGUGACCCCGAUCCAUCGGCCAUGGAACGAUUUCCUUCGUUCAUCGUCGACGGUACAAGCGUCGUUGUAACGGAAGCGUGCGUCACGUUGACGUUGCUGCGAAAACAGCGAGCAUAAAUCUUUAUCUUGGGACCUUUGUAUAUCUUGGGACCUUGGGGAAAAGGUCCCUGUCCUUUGUUACCCCGUCAACCCCCGACCCCCUCUCUCUGUCGCUUUCUCUUUAGUCCAAUAAAGAUCUUUUAUGGCCAUCGUUUUCUAUUUGUAGUUUACAACGGUAUUAUGGUCGCCAAAUUGUAGUCUCUCGGUCUCGACAAAAUAUUCUUCCACAAUAUUAUACGAUGCAACGAUCGAUCUUCGCAUAAAUACUACUCGAUUACAUGUAUGACACAAAAUUAUAAAGAAUAGUCGAACCGUUUCGUAACGGUAUUGGUUCAA